GUAGGUGGCAAGCGUUGUCCGGAAUUAUUGGGCGUAAAGCGCGCGCAGGCGGUUCUUUAAGUCUGAUGUGAAAGCCCACGGCUCAACCGUGGAGGGUCAUUGGAAACUGGAGAGCUUGAGUACAGAAGAGGAAAGCGGAAUUCCACGUGUAGCGGUGAAAUGCGUAGAGAUGUGGAGGAACACCAGUGGCGAAGGCGGCUUUCUGGUCUGUAACUGACGCUGAGGCGCGAAAGCGUGGGGGAGCAAACAGGAUUAGAUACCCUGGUAGUCCACGCCGUAAACGAUGAGUGCUAAGUGUUAGGGGGUUUCCGCCCCUUAGUGCUGCAGCUAACGCAUUAAGCACUCCGCCCUGGGAGUACGGCCGCAAGGCUG
This 372-nucleotide ribosomal RNA is filed under the name uncultured organism. Its description in RNAcentral is "partial 16S ribosomal RNA". It matches the Rfam family "Bacterial small subunit ribosomal RNA", at positions 527 to 896 of the family's 1533-position model. The record is from RNAcentral.